GACGAAGGGGGCUAGCGUUGUUCGGAUUCAUUGGGCGUAAAGGGUGCGUAGGCGGCGCGGUAAGUCGGGUGUGAAAUCUCGGGGCUUAACUCCGAAACUGCAUUCGAUACUGCCGUGCUUGAGGACUGGAGAGGAGACUGGAAUUUACGGUGUAGCGGUGAAAUGCGUAGAUAUCGUAAGGAAGACCAGUGGCGAAGGCGGGUCUCUGGACAGUUCCUGACGCUGAGGCACGAAGGCCAGGGGAGCAAACGGG
This 253-nucleotide ribosomal RNA is filed under the name uncultured bacterium. RNAcentral describes it as "partial 16S ribosomal RNA". It matches the Rfam family "Bacterial small subunit ribosomal RNA", at positions 524 to 776 of the family's 1533-position model. The record is from RNAcentral.